GUUUAUCUGUGUUUACAGCAGGCAGGGUUAACCCUAGAUGGACCUAGCACCCAGACCACUUCAUUGAGCUGAAGUGGUCUGGGUGCCUAUAGUGGUCCUUUAACUACACACUAGGAAAUACGGUUUUGGGGAGAUGUCAUUAAAGUACCUGCCCCAGGGCACCUCAUGACGUUUCUACGUCCCUGGCAGCCUGCACAGCUGUCUAGAUCAUGCAUCCAAGAUAGUUUAAUUCAUGAAAAAAACAUUAAGAAAGCUAAAACAAGAUAAUAAAAGUUCU
This is a non-coding RNA of Pelobates cultripes (western spadefoot toad), 277 nucleotides long. Lineage: Eukaryota; Metazoa; Chordata; Amphibia; Anura; Pelobatidae. The record is from the annotation of a GenBank genome assembly.